Molecule: long non-coding RNA, 646 nt
Organism: Numida meleagris (helmeted guineafowl)
Lineage: Eukaryota; Metazoa; Chordata; Aves; Galliformes; Numididae
Exons: 3
Source: RefSeq, a predicted model, not a curated record
UUCACAAAGAUGCACCUUUACAGCAGGAAACCCCUGAGCAGCAAACUACUGAAUGAAAAACUAUUAUAGAAGGAACCAUGCUGGAAGAUGCUAUAACAAGGAGUUAGUGGUCCUGAGGUACUGUGGAGGAUGUACAGGUGGUCCUAUCUGAUAUUCUGACAUGUGACCUGUCCUUUGCAGACAUUUCACAUUCUUUAGAUAACAAGUUAGUGGUGGCAUUACCAGGAAAGAAGACCCUUAGGUGAGAGAGAUGUGGUUUAUGGGGAGGAAAAAAGGAUACAAAAGCAUGGCAGGAGGCAAGGUGUGCUGAACCUCUCCACAGAUCCAAACUUUACAGCAUGCCAUUAACACCAUGAAGUGGACUGUCCGAUGCUGGCACACCUCAGCCAUCCUGGUAUCUGAAGGGACCUAGGGCUCAGUUUCUAUUCAGCAAAUAGCAUUUAACUACCUACAUGUUUGAGAUAUCUUUCUUACCGAGAUCCAGGAAGAUCCAGCACAAAAAAGCAAAAAAAAAAAAUGUCUUUAUGAACAGAAAAUUUUGUAGUAGCAAAUAUCUUUUCUUAAGUCAGCAACACAGAAUUCACAGAAAAAUUGCAUUGUUCUCACAGCCUUCCUCCAAAGCUAACUCUACAAUUUGCAUGUGUAU